UUAACGAAAGGGAAUGAGGUUCUCCCUAGGUAAGUUUACCUAAACCGCAGUUAUUUGCUGAUGACUUCUGUGACGCU
This 77-nucleotide non-coding RNA is filed under the name Globicatella sp. RNAcentral's name for it is "Fluoride sequence". It matches the Rfam family "Fluoride riboswitch aptamer (crcB RNA motif)". The record is from RNAcentral. Lineage: Bacteria; Bacillati; Bacillota; Bacilli; Lactobacillales; Aerococcaceae. RNAcentral also lists the same sequence under 1 other name.